CAUUAUACGGCGAAACUGCGAAUGGCUCAUUAUAUCAGUUAUCGUUUAUUUGAUAGUACCUUACUACUUGGAUAACCGUGGUAAUUCUAGAGCUAAUACAUGCUUAAAGCCUCGACUUCACGAAGGGGCGUAUUUAUUAGAUUAAAAACCAAUGCCCUUCGGGGCUCUUUGGUGAUUCAUAAUAACUUUUCGAAUCGCAUGGCCUUGCGCCGGCGAUGGUUCAUUCAAAUUUCUGCCCUAUCAACUUUCGAUGGCAGGGUCUUGGCCUGCCAUGGUGACAACGGGUAACGGAGGGUUAGGGCUCGACCCCGGAGAAGGAGCCUGAGAAACGGCUACUACAUCCAAGGAAGGCAGCAGGCGCGCAAAUUACCCAAUCCCGACUCGGGGAGGUAGUGACAAUAAAUACUGAUACAGGGCUCUUUUGGGUCUUGUAAUUGGAAUGAGUACAAUUUAAAUCCCUUAACGAGGAACAAUUGGAGGGCAAGUCUGGUGCCAGCAGCCGCGGUAAUUCCAGCUCCAAUAGCGUAUAUUAAAGUUGUUGCAGUUAAAAAGCUCGUAGUUGAACCUUGGGCCUGGCUGGCCGGUCCGCCUCACCGCGUGCACUGGUUCGGCCGGGCCUUUCCCUCUGGGGAACCGCAUGCCCUUCACUGGGUGUGUCGGGGAACCAGGACUUUUACUGUGAAAAAAUUAGAGUGUUCAAAGCAGGCCUAUGCUCGAAUACAUUAGCAUGGAAUAAUAGAAUAGGACGUGUGGUUCUAUUUUGUUGGUUUCUAGGACCGCCGUAAUGAUUAAUAGGGACAGUCGGGGGCAUCAGUAUUCAAUUGUCAGAGGUGAAAUUCUUGGAUUUAUUGAAGACUAACUACUGCGAAAGCAUUUGCCAAGGAUGUUUUCAUUAAUCAGGAACGAAAGUUAGGGGAUCGAAGACGAUCAGAUACCGUCGUAGUCUUAACCAUAAACUAUGCCGACUAGGGAUCGGGCGAUGUUAUUAUUUGACUCGCUCGGCACCUUACGARAAAUCCAAAGUCUUU
Molecule: ribosomal RNA, 1028 nt
Filed under: Apiospora arundinis
Lineage: Eukaryota; Fungi; Ascomycota; Sordariomycetes; Amphisphaeriales; Apiosporaceae
Description: SSU rRNA
Source: RNAcentral